GGAGGCGUGACCGAGUGGUUUAAGGUAGCGGUUUACUAAACCGCCGUUCCCUAAUCGGAACCGUGAGUUCAAAUCUCACCGCCUCCG
RNAcentral lists this transfer RNA (87 nucleotides) under Candidatus Nomurabacteria bacterium CG_4_10_14_0_2_um_filter_33_9. RNAcentral's name for it is "tRNA-Ser". It matches the Rfam family "tRNA". From Rfam's summary of the family: Transfer RNA (tRNA) molecules are approximately 80 nucleotides in length. Their secondary structure includes four short double-helical elements and three loops (D, anti-codon, and T loops). The record is from RNAcentral. Lineage: Bacteria; Candidatus Nomuraibacteriota. RNAcentral also lists the same sequence under 1 other name.